GUCCCUUUCUUCUAAUGGCCCAGGAUCUCGACCUUUCAUGUCGAAGACACGGAUCCCCGUAAGGGACA
Molecule: transfer RNA, 68 nt
Filed under: Coix lacryma-jobi var. ma-yuen
Lineage: Eukaryota; Viridiplantae; Streptophyta; Magnoliopsida; Poales; Poaceae
Also listed under: 2 other names
Description: tRNA-Glu
Source: RNAcentral